GCCUUAGUAGCUCAGGUUAGUUUGUCCUCCUUUCCCCUCCAAUCCUAACCAUUCUCAGGGGUAGAGCGCGUCACUAGUAGUCUUAAAUUGUUAGAAACAAGGAAAUGACGAGGUCAGAGGUUCGAAUCCUCUCUGAGGCA
Molecule: transfer RNA, 140 nt
Filed under: Gomphillus americanus
Lineage: Eukaryota; Fungi; Ascomycota; Lecanoromycetes; Ostropales; Graphidaceae
Description: tRNA-Thr
Source: RNAcentral